CUCCUGUCAUCACUCGCCUCCAUUCCUGCCUCACGGUGGACUUUGUGACUUCUUACAGUAUGGCUUCAAGGAGAAGACACAGUUGAUUUGAGUAAAUGAACCUCUGAGUGGCUGAGGGAAAGAGGAAGCCACCAUGGGAAUCCUAUCAACAUCAGACUGUCUAUAUUCCCACGAAGAGAAAUCAGAUCCAUGAAGGAGGCCAUGUGGUUCACAGUGUUAUUCAGAUCUGGCUGAAACCUUUAGCCUGGAUGUCAAGGUUCUGAAGGGAAGGUCUUGCAGCCAGCAGUGACUGGUUUCCAGCUCAGCUCCUGUCCCUGACACCGAGCUUAGAAGAAGCCAGACAAGGACCAAAACCCAGCCUUGGUGACCUUGCUCCCGGGACAGAAAAGACACCCUGACUACAUGAAGCCAACUCUAUGUAGCCCAGCCCUCAAGGAGACAGAGUGACCUGGCUCAGCUACCUGCAGGACUCAGAUUCCCAGCGCCCUGGGCAACACUUGGAGAGCUGGUUAAUUUCUUGGAGAAAAAUGGUGAGCCAGGCUGCAGGCUAGCCCACUAAGGUGAGCCAGGCUGCAGGCUGCUGGGCGACUGCUCUCCCAGGUUCUCCCCUUGUAGGAUCCAGGCAGAGAGGGAGGCAACACAGGGCUUCAAACAGCUAAUCUCUUUUUAGGGAAGAUGCCAUCGUCUCAAUUAAAACGCAGACCAGAAUAUUUAAUGGCACGGAAAUUGAUUUAGAUGCUAUUUAAAUAAUUUCCCCCUGGAGAAGAUGGGAAUUACUUGGCCUAAUUUUCUGGAAGCAUCCAUUUCCUUUACCACUCAGAACUUCCACUCACUGCUCCGUUCACCAGGGUGAACUGCAGUGCGCAUCAGCCUCCAGGGACUCCGGUCCCGCAGGAGGACAGAGCUUAAGGGGUCAACCGGUGAGGACAGGGUGCCUCAAGGAAGGCUCUGGGCGCCUCACCCUCACCAGCUCCCCGCCCCCUCCCCCAUGUAGUUCCGGAAGGCCCAGUCACAGGGAGGAGCUUGGGGGUGGGGCUGGUGAGGCAUGGUGGUCCAUGAUGUCAUCGAGAGUGGGCGGGGCAAGUGGAGGCAGUCUCUGCAGAGGGUAUAUAUAGCAUCUCAGGCCACCACACAGUAGCCCACAGGAUAUUGGGGGUGUUUCUGAGCUGUAAGAGGAUGCAAGGAGAGUUGGAAAUGGAUCUGUGACUUGCUCUUUGGGUCACAGCAAUCUGUGAAGAGUCUAGACUUGGCCUCCCAUUACUUUCGAUUUUCUUUUCACAGUGGAAAGUACAAGGGUUCAAAGUACAAGAGGGCCAGAUUAUAGCUCAUGGACCGAAUCUGGCCCUCUGACUGUUUGUACAAAUAAAACUUUAUUGGGA
Long non-coding RNA from Onychomys torridus (southern grasshopper mouse), 1379 nucleotides. RefSeq lists it as uncharacterized. The transcript is spliced from 4 exons. The record is from RefSeq and is a predicted model, not a curated record. NCBI's taxonomy places the organism in Eukaryota, Metazoa, Chordata, Mammalia, Rodentia, Cricetidae.